RNAcentral lists this ribosomal RNA (472 nucleotides) under uncultured bacterium. RNAcentral describes it as "partial 16S ribosomal RNA". It matches the Rfam family "Bacterial small subunit ribosomal RNA", at positions 28 to 507 of the family's 1533-position model. The record is from RNAcentral.
GACGAACGCUGGCGGCGUGCUUAACACAUGCAAGUCGAACGAUGAACCCGGAGCUUGCUCUGGGGGAUUAGUGGCGAACGGGUGAGUAACACGUGAGUAACCUGCCCUGGACUCUGGGAUAAGCGUUGGAAACGACGUCUAAUACCGGAUAGGACCUUGGAUCGCAUGAUCUGGGGUGGAAAGUUUUUUCGGUCUGGGAUGGACUCGCGGCCUAUCAGCUUGUUGGUGAGGUAAUGGCUCACCAAGGCGUCGACGGGUAGCCGGCCUGAGAGGGUGACCGGCCACACUGGGACUGAGACACGGCCCAGAGUCCUACGGGAGGCAUCAGUGGGGAAUAUUGCACAAUGGUCGAAUGCCUGAUGCAGCAACGACGCGUGCGGGAUGACGACCUUCGGGUUGUAAAGCGCUUUUAGUAGGGAAGAAGGGCUUCGGCUUGACGGUACCUGCAGAAAAAGGACCGGCUAACUACGUG